This 497-nucleotide ribosomal RNA is filed under the name uncultured bacterium. Its description in RNAcentral is "partial 16S ribosomal RNA". It matches the Rfam family "Bacterial small subunit ribosomal RNA", at positions 28 to 507 of the family's 1533-position model. The record is from RNAcentral.
GAUGAACGCUGGCGGCGUGCCUAAUACAUGCAAGUCGAGCGAACAGACGAGGAGCUUGCUCCUCUGACGUUAGCGGCGGACGGGUGAGUAACACGUGUAUAACCUACCUAUAAGACUGGGAUAACUUCGGGAAACCGGAUCUAAUACCGGAUAAUAUAUUGAACCGCAUGGUUCAAUAGUGAAAGACGGUUUUGCUGUCACUUAUAGAUGGAUCCGCGCCGCAUUAGCUAGUUGGUAAGGUAACGGCUUACCAAGGCAACGAUGCGUAGCCGACCUGAGAGAGUGAUCGGCCACACUGGAACUGAGACACGGUCCAGACUCCUACGGGAGGCAGCAGUAGGGAAUCUUCCGCAAUGGGCGAAAGCCUGACGGAGCAACGCCGCGUGAGUGAUGAAGGUCUUCGGAUCGUAAAACUCUGUUAUUAGGGAAGAACAAAUGUGUAAGUAACUAUGCACGUCUUGACGGUACCUAAUCAGAAAGCCACGGCUAACUACGUG